Oreochromis aureus is the source of this 638-nucleotide long non-coding RNA. Lineage: Eukaryota; Metazoa; Chordata; Actinopteri; Cichliformes; Cichlidae. The record is from Ensembl.
GCUGCGGCAACCGCGGCUGCUCUCUGACGUCACCGAGCUGGCAGGCAGGAGGCGGCUCGACAGUUUGAACCGCGAACGGAGAGAGAGCGAGAGAAAGAGUGUGUGUGUGUAUGUAUGUGUGUAUAGAUAGACACGGGUUUGUCCGGUUACGGCACGCAGGCGAGUGUUUUACAGUCACUGUGUUCAGACUCGGAGAGGAAAUUAAGGAAAAUACCGACGAAGAAGAGCAGAGGAGGGGGGAAAAGAGAAGAAGAAGAAGGGUCGCGGCCGUUGGCGCUCAGUGAAACUUUAAGAUGGAAAAUUCAUCCAGCAACAGCCGGUUUCGGUCCACAGUGUUCAACCACGAUGAUGAGACACAAUGCCAACAGUGUUUCAGCAGAUCUGCGGCUCUGACUCCAGACUCCGGUAGCGUUGUGAUAAGACCCAGCAGGAGCCAAAAAUCACACAAGGUGGUUUUUGUGUUCGUGUAAUGUGGGAGCUAGACGGGCUGGAAUUCAGUGCAGCACAAGCGAGGCCGCACAACAAACCCACCAGCUUCCUUUCUCCAGGGCACACAGAGUUCACCACCCGGCAGAUGUUGGCCCUUUUUUGUUUGUUUGUUUGUUUUUGUUUUAUUUUUUGUUUUUGUUUAUUGCCAC